Molecule: non-coding RNA, 191 nt
Organism: Arachis ipaensis
Lineage: Eukaryota; Viridiplantae; Streptophyta; Magnoliopsida; Fabales; Fabaceae
Source: RefSeq, a predicted model, not a curated record
GUUAUUAUCCGAAGCUGUUUAUGCUGCUGCGAAAAUGUGUGGGGCUGUGCUUUGAAGCUGCCUUUGAUUUCGAGUUGAGGCGAAAAGAACUUAUGAGGCGUUUGGAUUAUGGAUUUGCGUUUUGAGGAUAUGGGCGCAGAAGUCACAAAGAAUUUAUUUAGUUGUUGUUGAAAUGCUCUGUAUUGCUUUAG